RNAcentral lists this ribosomal RNA (484 nucleotides) under uncultured bacterium. Its description in RNAcentral is "partial 16S ribosomal RNA". It matches the Rfam family "Bacterial small subunit ribosomal RNA", at positions 28 to 507 of the family's 1533-position model. The record is from RNAcentral.
AUUGAACGCUGGCGGCAUGCUUUACACAUGCAAGUCGAACGGCAGCGCGGGCUUCGGCCUGGCGGCGAGUGGCGAACGGGUGAGUAAUGCAUCGGAACGUGCCCAGUAGUGGGGGAUAGCCCGGCGAAAGCAGGAUUAAUACCGCAUACGACCUGAGGGUGAAAGCGGGGGACCGAAAGGCCUCGCGCGAUUGGCGCGGCCGAUGUCGGAUUAGCUAGUUGGUGGGGUAAAGGCUUACCAAGGCGACGAUCCGUAGCUGGUCUGAGAGGACGACCGGCCACACUGGGACUGAGACACGGCCCAGACUCCUACGGGAGGCAGCAGUGGGGAAUUUUGGACAAUGGGGGCAACCCUGAUCCAGCCAUGCCGCGUGCGGGAAGAAGGCCUUCGGGUUGUAAACCGCUUUUGUUCGGGAAGAAAUCCUGUGGGCUAAUACCCCGGGGGGAUGACGGUACCGGAAGAAUAAGCACCGGCUAACUACGUG